Molecule: non-coding RNA, 1513 nt
Organism: Paramuricea clavata
Lineage: Eukaryota; Metazoa; Cnidaria; Anthozoa; Malacalcyonacea; Plexauridae
Source: the annotation of a GenBank genome assembly
AUUGAAUUUUGCGAGUCUUUGAAAGAUGUUUGUCGAAAAAUUGUGGUUGUUUAUCGCGAUUUUUCACUCUGAAAAUUUUGAUUUUUGGAAGGUACGUUUUUAUAAUUGUUUUAUUUGUGACCUUAAUUGCACGAUUUUUGUUUUAUGUGGUUGUCGUAUCAUGUUUCAGUUAUGUUAAUCACGCAUUGAAUUACCCUUGGUUUCGGGUCAGUGCACAUGUCACAAAAGUGGCUUUGAUAUUCGCCGGGGAUUAAAUGCUUUUUAAAUCAGGAAAUUCAACAACAUUUACAGCAUCGAAUGCAGGAAGGGUUAUUCUUUCUAUUGAUACUUCAAAACACAAAAAAUCCCCUCGAACUGACGAGUUAUCGCGGUUUGAAAAUGGGGUAUAUUUCGGUGCUAUAAAAGAAAUGGCAUUGAUAUACGCCAGGGGUUAAACAGUUUAUAAAUCGGGAAAUUCAGCAAAAUUCACAUCAUUGAAUUCGGAAAGGUCAAGGUUUUAGCUGAUACUUUAAAACAUUAACAAUCUCCUCCAACCGACGAGUUAUCGCUGUUUGAAAAUGGGGUAUAUUUCGGGUAUAGUGCACAUGACACGAAAACGGCUUUUAUAUACGCAGGGGGCUAAAUGGUUUAUAAAUCGGGAAAUUCAAUAAAAUUCACAUUAUUGUAUUCAGUAAGGGUUACUCUUUCUCUUGGUACUUUAAAACAUAAAAAGGCCCCUGAAACCGACGAGUAAUCGUUGUUUGAAAAUGGGGUAUUUUGCUUUUGCUGUUGCCAAUCGCGGGAAAAGAGGACUCUACAGGAAAUAUGGCGCGAGCGCGACGUAAACAAGCCAGCUUUUCUAACAUAUUGUUCCUGAUUGUAUCAUUUGUUUUUAUAGAAUUCGAGUUUAUUGGAGCAAAAAAUGGAAUCUAUUAAUGAUGGCGAUGUUGUUAUUGUUGAUCAUGAUUUAGAAAAUGAGGAACUCAAAUGACUGAUAUGCCAGAAAAACCAACAAGAAAAACCUGAAGACUAUAUCUCGUGUGGAAAGUUCAUUCAGUCAAGCUUUGGUUAGGUCAGGUUAGGUUCAUAUAAUGGGCCAUUCCAUUUAAUAUAGGCACCCCCCCCCCCUAUUGAGGGGUCCCUUCAUAAUCCCCUUAGGAUAUAAACAUUUUAGAACCCCCUUGGAUGUGAUUAGUGGAAGUUACCCCAUGGAUAUCUUCAUAUACUCCCUUUAGGAUAUCACUAAACACCUAAUUUUUGUUAUUUUUUGGAAAAUUUCUUAAGCUACCCUCUAGGAAAAUUUAAGGUAAAAACCACCUCCCCCCUAGGAUAUUCAGACCCCUCAAUAGGGAGGGGGGUGCCUAUAUUAAAUGGAAUGGCCCAUUCAAAGUCCUGGCACAUCAGCAAAGGUAUAAUAAAAACAAUUAUGGCAGACAAAAUUGUACUUAAAACUUUGUUAUUCUUUGCUAUUCUAUUCUUUAAAUUGUCUUUGUAUACAGGGAUGGAUCCAGCAUGAUCUGGUGGGGGGGGGGGG